UACAGAGGUCUCAAGCGUUGUUCGGAUUCAUUGGGCGUAAAGGGUGCGUAGGUGGUUGUUUAAGUCUGUUGUGAAAGCCCCGGGCUCAACCUGGGAAUGGCAAUGGAUACUGGACAGCUAGAGUGCGGUAGAGGGUAGUGGAAUUCCCGGUGUAGCGGUGAAAUGCGCAGAUAUCGGGAGGAACACCGGUGGCGAAGGCGGUUCUCUGGGCCUUACCUGACGCUGAGGAGCGAAAGCGUGGGGAGCGAACGGG
Molecule: ribosomal RNA, 253 nt
Filed under: uncultured bacterium
Lineage: Bacteria
Description: partial 16S ribosomal RNA
Rfam family: Bacterial small subunit ribosomal RNA
Source: RNAcentral